RNAcentral lists this ribosomal RNA (243 nucleotides) under uncultured bacterium. Its description in RNAcentral is "partial 16S ribosomal RNA". It matches the Rfam family "Bacterial small subunit ribosomal RNA", at positions 529 to 771 of the family's 1533-position model. The record is from RNAcentral.
AGGGCGCAAGCGUUAUCCGGAAUUAUUGGGCGUAAAGAGCUCGUAGGCGGUUUGUCACGUCUGCUGUGAAAUCCCGAGGCUCAACCUCGGGCCUGCAGUGGGUACGGAUAGACUAGAGUGUGGUAGAGGAGACUGGAAUUCCUGGUGUAGCGGUGAAAUGCUCAGAUAUCAGGAGGAACACCAACGGCGAAGGCAGGUCUCUGGGCCACCACUGACGCUGAGGAGCGAAAGCGUGGGGAGCAA